This 696-nucleotide long non-coding RNA is filed under the name Carassius auratus (goldfish). Its description in RNAcentral is "lncRNA (ENSCARG00000037384.1)". The record is from RNAcentral. Lineage: Eukaryota; Metazoa; Chordata; Actinopteri; Cypriniformes; Cyprinidae.
AUGAUGCUCCAUGUAGUUGAAUUUGUCACCAAUAAAACCGUAGCAGUGGUGCCCCAAAGUUGGUACGAGGAUGGUUGUGCAUCGUGGCCAACUUAUAACAGUGACAAAAGAAUAAUUAGGGCAAUAAAACAUGGAGAGGAGCCACAGGAUGACUUGCAGACACAUGAUGUCAGAAUCAUCAAAUCAUCUGAUUCUUACAUUGAGGCACAUCAAUUCCUGAAGAAGGCUCUGACAAGUAGCACCUUGGACCUCCAAACUGAGUAUGAACAGGAACGGCCUGGGAGAAGGAGAACAUCAGCGAAACAUUUCUUUGGUGACACUGAUAUAGAGGAGGACUACCGACCCCCAAAGAGGUCCAAAUCCGGGUCUUCUGCUGGGACAAGUCACCAACUCCCUGCAAAUAGUCCAGAGAUCUGUCAAAUGUUUGGCAGAACUGCCCCUCCCCAACCACAAACACUCCUCUCUCAACCUGCGCAAUGCAACCAGCAACAACGGGGGCCAGAGGAGCCAAGCCAGGUCUACAGACCUACCUGGAGAGGUGGGAGACAUGGCCCAGAAACCAUUCCCUGCUCUGCUGCUCAGGUCCACAUUUUAAGCCUGCUGGAGCACAUUAAGCAGCAGGAGGACCAGCUGGUGGCCAAGGUCAAUCACCUGAGCAGCAGGGUGCUCAACACCUCAAGAGCCAGAGUGUCCUGA